Molecule: ribosomal RNA, 253 nt
Filed under: uncultured bacterium
Lineage: Bacteria
Description: partial 16S ribosomal RNA
Rfam family: Bacterial small subunit ribosomal RNA
Source: RNAcentral
UACGUAGGAGACGAGCGUUGUCCGGAGUUACUGGGCGUAAAGGGUGCGCAGGUGGCGGCGCGCGUGGGGGGUGAAAUCGCCCGGCUUAACUGGGCGGGGGCCUUCCAGACGGUGUGGCUUGAGCAGCGGAGGGGGACGUGGAAUUCCGGGUGGAGCGGUGAAAUGCGUAGAGAUCCGGAGGAACACCGACGGCGCAGGCAGCGUCCUGUCCGCUUGCUGACACUGAGGCACGAAAGCUGGGGGAGCAAACAGG